CAAAAUAGAGUUUGAUAAAACAUUUCGUUUACACUGAAAAAUUUCUUUAGAAGAUAUUUUGA
This 62-nucleotide transfer RNA is filed under the name Archispirostreptus gigas (African giant black millipede). RNAcentral describes it as "tRNA-Val". Lineage: Eukaryota; Metazoa; Arthropoda; Diplopoda; Spirostreptida; Spirostreptidae. The record is from RNAcentral.